AUGUAGAAAUUGAACUUGAAAUAUUCUUACAACUUACUACUGGCGCGGUGGUUUGAGUGACAGGUCUGAAAGCCCUCCCUCGCCCCUUAUUACUAUUGGACAGGCAAGCAUUGAUUUUAGCAUUUAUCUACUACCGGUGGACGUACACCCGGAUAUGUAGCAAGCGCCUAGCCUUUAGCAAUAUAAACGGGGCUCUCCACAGACAAUCGGCAGAUUUCUAACAAUCAUAUUUCCAAUCGAUUCAUCAUUUUAUCGCAAGUGUAACACGAAAUACAGAACCGUUUAAGCUUCACAUUGUGUUUCUAGGUUGACGUUGUUUAGGCUCCACGACGUCCGCAAUGGUUAGCUCUCAUAGCCACCAUGGGCUAUCGCUAACUAGCCGCCCUGUCACCUUGGCUGUUAUCUCCAGAACUGCUCACGCUCGAGCCUCAACGUCCUUGAGACCAACUGGAAAUAUACGGUAUGAAAUUAAGUGUGAUUCUUAAAAAAGUAUAAAUUAUAUCGAAAUUCUGUGUCUACAUAUACGUAUAGAAUAAUACAGAAGAAGAAAGAAAGAAUAAAACUAAAGAACAAUAGUGGAGAGUGGCAAUUCUUCCAAAAGUUGGAUUUCAGACUUGAUCUUGGAUAGAGUGUUAUCCACUGGGCUGACUCGGGUGAGACUGGAGACUGAGGAAGCGGACCAAACACAGGAGAUUAGUAGCAAGUGUCAGUCCCUCUCAGCUCCAGAUGGCUCCUGGUUCUGAGCCAGUGGGACAUGGCUUCCCUCUUCUGCUCCACUGGUGGAAGAAGACGAGCAGGAGUCAGUGUUUCAGACCGGCGUCUCCGCGGGCGUCACACGGGCGUCGUUGAGGGUCAACCAUCCGGCGCCGUCCUCUCCAGCGACGUCACUGACGUAGUGGCCUGGGGGACACAAGACAUCCAUUACCUUACUGUCCCCCAGCGUGGGACGGGUCUAGUGUCUGACGCGUGUGUCAGCUCUCUCCCUGGCCCCUCUCACCCCAUGAACUUCCUGAAGACCUCUGUCCCUGUCUCCUGCACUGUCAAGAUGAUCCACUGCUGCUGAGAAACACACCAACAAUCCUGUUUUGUACACAACUGAAAAACUCAAGCGGUUGGGCAUGAGAUAGGAAUCCAUCACUUUUUUCUUACCCAUGUUUGCACUUGGUUUUGCUCCAGAUGCGAUGUCCCCCUCUCCAUAACUUGAUCUACAACACAUUCCAUACAUAAUGAUUAAUCAGAUAUUGAGGAUCGUAAAUUAAACACUAAAAUGGUUGUGUGAGGUCCUCUAUAAGAGGCAGGGGAGCUUAUGGCCGGAUUACCAAUCUAGAUUCAUCUGACUGUUUCAAUGACGCCCAGCACUCCCAACCCACCCAAUCUGUUUCCAUGAAGCACAACGCACUGCCUACCGUCCCAGUCUGUUUCCUUAUCUCUUACCUCAGUGGGUCUAUCCCAGCUGCAGCACCCUGCUCUCCAACGAGGGAGGCCAGAGACAGCCAUGGAGGAACGCUGACAGCAUCGGUCACCUUCCUCAACCGUGCCCCGUCGUGGUGGAAGCGCUUCAUGUGAAGGAGUAACACUCUGUGGACACAACUCUGUGGUUCAUCGUCCGAUCGCUGCAUGCACACACGCGCCCGUACGUAUGAAAAGGCUGCUUCAAGGCAACAUUGGAGACAACAGACUCAAGUUCAUGGCUCACCUGGGCAGAGUGAGGAAAUGCCGAACCGCUGUUGCCUGGCAUCCAGAGCACUGCCGGCAGGUGCACUCCAACUCUGAAGGCUGAGGGAAAGUGCUCUGUGAGUAUCAGUGGACCAGCGUAAUCGGACACACCAACACAACGGUGUACUGACUUUGAAGUAGAAUUGGAGGCCAGCUAUCAACGACGGGUGGAGGUCCAAGGACAAGUGGUUCUGCUCCUCCUCCUGGAAGACCUUGUCACCGCAGCUUUUAAGACGGGCAGAGAACAGAAAAUCACCAUUUGAACACAGCAGACCAGAUCAUGAUGCCAAAAGUGUUGGCGUAACAUUGAUUGACUUUCAUUCAAUGAUGGAGGAACUAUAGUAGUAUUAUGCGACAACAAUAAUACGUUCGAUGAAGUCAACCGUUACCUGGUGCAGGUGCGUACACACUGCAGUCUGAACUCAAAGUUCUGGACGGGGCAGAGAUAGCUGGGUGACGUGGAGAUCUCCUGCAGUGUCUCACCUUCCAUCUUCAUCUUCAUGAAGAGGAGGAGCAGGAACUCAUGAGCAUCCUGUCAGAAACCAGAAGUUCAGUUGACAUGUGUUUAAUCCUCAACAAGCGCAUAAGCCAAGAGAUAGGGACUCAUCAGCUGUACCUGCUCAGUGAUAUGCUCGUACUCCUCGUUGAACUCUGCCAGACUGCUCUUGAUGGACCAAAGGAGCCGGCGCUUGCCUUUGUAGGAGCCCUCACCCUGCCGGGAUUUAUAUAGCUCCCCCAAGUACCUGGAGAACAGCAUACGAAAAGACCAAGUGCAUUUAGUAUACCUACUGUACUUAAUAUUGUACAGUGGAGCAUUCACUUUGUCAGUAAAUCGUCCAAGCUGUACUGUAGUUUGUGAGGGCUAAGGGUCUGGUUCUCCUCUAGUGUGAGGGCUAAGGGUCUGGUUCUCCUCUAGUGUGAGGGCUAAGGGUCUGGUUCUCCUCUAGUGUGAGGGCUAAGGGUCUGGUUCUCCUCUAGUGUGAGGGCUAAGGGUCUGGUUCUCCUCUAGUGUGAGGGCUAAGGGUCUGGAUCUCUACUGGACCUCAGCAGCUUCAGCUUGGUUCUUCUCCGGGGGCUCCAGAGGUCCUCCUGCCCCGUGAUGUCACUGCAGAAGCAGGGCAGGCUGUAGAGACACUGCAGGGACGCGUUCAGGAAGCAGCUGUUUCCAAUGUUGGGCAAGCUGAAGAAAACACAUACACAUCAUUAGUCAAUGUACCAGCCCGGAGUAUAUAGUCGUGAUGAUUAGGUUUUAAAGAAGAGACAACCAAUGUUUGGGAAAGUGUAAAUCUCUACAAAUAUAACCAGAACUCCUUAAACUAUGGACUAUAAGGGGGUGAAGGCAUCAGCGGCCCCAAACAGGCUGCUUGUAUUCAUGUUUAUUCUCUAAAGAACCAGCUCAAGAGAUGUCUUUCCUGUCUCUUACCCAAGGGCCUCCUGGUGUUGCUGGGUCUUGCUCCUACCAGAGGAGGCCCGCAGCCGGCUGACCUCGUCCCUCUGAGGCUGACUGCAACACACAGGGACGAGCGGAACAGAAAGGGAAACACAGCAAUGAGGAGGAUAGUCACGUCACGUAUAAGCAAAACGGAGUCAUUCAUUCAUCGAUUUCUAUCUGAUGUCCAAUCCUGUGCUGAUGGAUCUCCCUGAUGCAAUCAGCAAAGGUUGGCUCCUGCUGUCAUACCACUGCAGAGAUGAGAAGCGACGAAGCCGGGAGAACUCUGAGGACCGACCACCACCACGGUUAAGACAAUAAUAGUUGAUCUGUGGGACAUGCUGUCUACUCAAUGGAGGACUGCUUCAAAGUACCUGUUGUCUGGGCAGGAGGCCCAGUGGGGUCCACCUCAUUGAGCUCACUCCCAGCUACUGCAGGUACCCUGAAACGCACACAUUCAUCAAGGUCAACUGAGGAUGGGGGGGCUGAUGUUUUAAGGACAAAUUAAAAGCAGGAAUGCAAAUUGAAAAGUUACAAACAUGGAUGAGUCAUUUUUGGCAUAAUUUCACCGGCGGUGAACUUAAUGCUACUUGUUACCU
This is a long non-coding RNA of Gadus chalcogrammus (walleye pollock), 3744 nucleotides long. RefSeq lists it as uncharacterized. NCBI's taxonomy places the organism in Eukaryota, Metazoa, Chordata, Actinopteri, Gadiformes, Gadidae. The record is from RefSeq and is a predicted model, not a curated record. The transcript is spliced from 5 exons.